UACGGCCACAUCAUUUUGAAGCACCAUUUCCCGUACGAUCACUGCAGUUAAGGAACGGUGAGUCUGGUCAGUACCUAUAUGGGUGAGCGUUUAGGAGUUCCAGGUGAUGUAAG
Molecule: non-coding RNA, 113 nt
Organism: Acanthosepion pharaonis
Lineage: Eukaryota; Metazoa; Mollusca; Cephalopoda; Sepiida; Sepiidae
Source: the annotation of a GenBank genome assembly